UUCAGGUUCCCUAAACUUUGCAUUUGGUAUGUAGGGCACCAAAUAACAACGUUUAGCCCAUGACAUCUCCAUGAUUGCAUACAGCCAUACACGUCUUUGUCAUAGCACCCACCAUUACCAUCACUUGCAUUAGCCCCCCCUCCUAGAAAUGUUGUCUCCAUCUCAGCUUCAUCAAUCUCACACAUACAUGUGUUAUCUUGUUAUAAUUCUCUCAUUUUGAGUACUUUUGUUUCUUUCUUUUUUAUCAAAUGGAUAUCUCCAAAUGCUCAUCUUCACCUUCAUUGCCUGAGUCAUCUUCCUCUCCUAAAAGAAUUCAGAGAGUGUCUAAGUUUGUUUCUGACCGACUUCUCGACAAAUUUUUUGAUGCAACUGAGUUUGAUUUUGAUUACGAGCAAAGUGGAAUCUGGUCUCCUCCCAUUAGAAGAAGCGCAUUCUUGAGCUCACCGGGAAGGAUAUUCACCGGAAAUGUGAUGGAUACUCGUCGUGCUAGAAGAAAUAAUAAAGCAUGCUGUAAUGUAUGGCACUGGUAGUGUGCUGCUUUUGAAUUUUGAAAAUGGUUGAAGAGACUCACUCUCACCUAAUCUCCCCGAAGGCUGAGAGAGUCAUGGACAAAAUUAGGAGGAGGAAAAGAAAAGAUAAAAAGCUUUGAAAUUUAACUUCUCGCAUUAAUUUUAAUUAGUCUUCUCUAUGAGAUGUAUAUUCUACUUUUUUUUUUCAUAUUUAUAUAAAUGAUAUAUAAUUAAAGAGAAUACAAAAAUUAGUUCGCAUGCAA
This is a long non-coding RNA of Populus nigra (black poplar), 772 nucleotides long. RefSeq lists it as uncharacterized. The record is from RefSeq and is a predicted model, not a curated record. NCBI's taxonomy places the organism in Eukaryota, Viridiplantae, Streptophyta, Magnoliopsida, Malpighiales, Salicaceae. The transcript is spliced from 2 exons.